RNAcentral lists this ribosomal RNA (440 nucleotides) under uncultured bacterium. RNAcentral's name for it is "partial 16S ribosomal RNA". It matches the Rfam family "Bacterial small subunit ribosomal RNA", at positions 338 to 795 of the family's 1533-position model. The record is from RNAcentral.
CCUACGGGAGGCAGCAGUGGGGGAUAUUGCACAAUGGGGGGAACCCUGAUGCAGCGACGCCGCGUGGGUGAAGAAGCGCCUCGGCGCGUAAAGCCCUGUCAGCAGGGAAGAAAAUGACGGUACCUGAAGAAGAAGCCCCGGCUAACUACGUGCCAGCAGCCGCGGUAAUACGUAGGGGGCAAGCGUUAUCCGGAUUUACUGGGUGUAACGGGGGCGCAGACGGCGAUGCAAGCCAGGAGUGAAAGCCCGGGGCCCAACCCCGGGACUGCGCUUGGAACUGCGUGGCUGGAGUGCAGGAGGGGCAGGCGGAAUUCCUGGUGUAGCGGUGAAAUGCGUAGAUAUCAGGAGGAACACCGGUGGCGAAGGCGGCCUGCUGGACUGCAACUGACGUUGAGGCCCGAAAGCGUGGGGAGCAAACAGGAUUAGAUACCCUGGUAGUC